RNAcentral lists this ribosomal RNA (114 nucleotides) under Calidris pugnax (ruff). RNAcentral also lists the same sequence under 1 other name. The record is from RNAcentral. Lineage: Eukaryota; Metazoa; Chordata; Aves; Charadriiformes; Scolopacidae.
ACCUGCAGCCCCACACCACCUCCGAGCUGUGACCUUCUCAUAAGCUAAUCAGGAUUGGGCCAGGUCAGUGCUUGGAUGGGAAACAUUCAAGGAAAACGCAGGGUGCUGCAGGAA